This 433-nucleotide ribosomal RNA is filed under the name uncultured bacterium. RNAcentral describes it as "partial 16S ribosomal RNA". It matches the Rfam family "Bacterial small subunit ribosomal RNA", at positions 29 to 507 of the family's 1533-position model. The record is from RNAcentral.
AACGAACGCUGGCGGCAUGCCUAACACAUGCAAGUCGAACGAGACCUUCUGGUCUAGUUGCGCACGGGUGCGUAACGCGUGGGAACCUGCCCUUAGGUUCGGAAUACCUCCCCGAAAGGGGUGCUAAUACCGGAUAAUGUCUUCGGCCCAAAGAUUUAUUGCCUUUGGAUGGGCCCGCGUUGGAUUAGCUUGUUGGUAGGGUAAAAGCCUACCAAGGCCACGAUCCAUAGCUGGUCUGAGAGGAUGAGCAGCAACACUGGGACUGAGACACGGCCCACACUCAGACGAAAGGAAGAAGAGGGGAGUAAUGGAGGAUGGGAGAAGGCCUGAUACAGCAAGGUCGGGUGAGUGAUGAAGGGAUGAGGAUUGUGAUGCACUUUUUGCCGGGAUGAUAAUGACAGUACCGGGUGAAUAAGCGCCGGAUAACUACGUG